GCAAAGUAGGAACAGACGCGUUAAGUGAGAAAGGAACGGGAAGUUGUCCUUUCUACGAAAAGCGAUUUUCGCUUGCGGUGUUUGUUCCGCAUUCCGUUG
RNAcentral lists this non-coding RNA (99 nucleotides) under human gut metagenome. RNAcentral's name for it is "THF riboswitch". It matches the Rfam family "THF (Tetrahydrofolate) riboswitch aptamer". From Rfam's summary of the family: THF riboswitch presents a pseudoknot that joins P1-P2 and the loop of P3 and two THF binding. The record is from RNAcentral.